RNAcentral lists this ribosomal RNA (407 nucleotides) under uncultured bacterium. Its description in RNAcentral is "bacterial SSU rRNA". It matches the Rfam family "Bacterial small subunit ribosomal RNA", at positions 30 to 433 of the family's 1533-position model. The record is from RNAcentral.
AUUGAACGCUGGCGGCAUGCUUUACACAUGCAAGUCGAACGGUAACAGGUCUUCGGAUGCUGACGAGUGGCGAACGGGUGAGUAAUGCAUCGGAACGUGCCCAGUCGUGGGGGAGUAACGCAGCGAAAGCUGUGCUAAUACCGCAUACGAUCUAUGGAUGAAAGCGGGGGACGUCGCAAGAGCCUCGCGCGAUUGGAGCGGCCGAUAUCAGAUUAGGUAGUUGGUGGGGUAAAGGGCUCACCAAGCCAACGAUCUGUAGCUGGUCUGAGAGGACGACCAGCCACACUGGAACUGAGACACGGUCCAGACUCCUACGGGAGGCAGCAGUGGGGAAUUUUGGUACAAUGGACGCAAGUCUGAUCCAGCCAUUCCGCGUGCAGGAUGAAGGCCCUCGGGUUGUAAACUGC